UACAAGAGGAAAACUCCGUCUCAAAAAAAAAAAAAAAAAAGAUUUUUAACUCAAGUGGCUCUCGGCAACAUUUCCCCAUUAUCAAAGAUUCAUGAAACUUUAGCUGCUGAUUCACCGCUCCUCGGUUCCGCCUGACGGCCUCCCCAAAAACAAGUAAGUCUGAAAUCUCAACCUUCUCAAGGUCCGAGGGAUCUACCUGGCCUUUGCCACUCUACUACCUGAGGCCGCCUGGCUGGGGGGAGGUCGCAUAUCAAUACAUAUCAACACAACCACUGACGUCCGAAGAUGUGAGCGCUACCCAAGCGUUAAAAAAACAAAACAAGCAAACAAACAAACAAAAAAACGUGCUGUGCUCAUUAGGAGCGUCUUCGCCUCUACCCUGAUGCGGAGUUGCUCCCAGGACGCUCAGUUCAUUCUCACUCUGGAAAACCUCAGGUGAGGUGGCCCGACUCUGAGCAACCCCGUGGGCGGGAGGAAAGAGGCAAAUACCAGGCACAGUUCGACCCUCGGAAGGUAAGGCCGGGGUCUGCGCCGGUCACGGGUCUUCCGCACUGCAGGCGGCGAGACCCGCAGCUCCCUGGGAUCACAGACUCUCCCGCCUCCGCUGACCGGUGCGCGCCCAGCGCCUCCCAGACGCACAGUGGGGUCGGCGGUGGCCUGAAGGUGGCUGGGCUUCCUGCGGCGCCUCUCCACUCUCCCGCGGAGCCCCUUGCCGCCCGCCAGACAUCAAGGUUGCAGGUGUCACCCGUACGAGAACCCGGGACAGCGACCGCCUGUCCUGAGCUGGGAUCCUUGAUGGACAGUGCCUAAGCAUGGAGGCAACUGCAGGUUUCUGGCCAGGGCCACUCUCUGGUGAAACUAAAAGGUCCAUGUGGAAGCACCUGACUGCCACCACCUGGUUCAGGAUCAAGUCUGUGAUACCUGAAGCCUCAGACCUGGAACCUGAAGUUUCCUUCAGCCACUACACCUGUGAACCUGUGGAAGACCUGAAGUGCCUGUUUAGAAGACAGCCAAAAGAUAAGUAAAUGCCUACCAACUUUCCUUGGUGUUUUUGUUGCAUAGUUAUUGUAGGUUGGAUAAUAAUAGCCAUAUUUUUAUAUAUUUGGCUGGAUAAUAAUAGCCAUAUUUUUAUAUAUUUUUGCAGUUUUUCUUUUUUCAAAUGUUUGGAAUCACUCCCUUUGUAGCAAUUAAGCAGAAUGUUUUAAUUUCUCCCUAUAACAAACAUUCCUGAUAGCAUAGGUAUCCACCCCCUGAAGUUCCCAUUAGAUCUUUUAACCAAAUUCAUUUCCUCUCACCUAGAGACCAUUGAGCUUCAUAUGAUCAUGCAACAACAUUGCCAGCCAGUUCCAAAUGAAGAUAGCACCCCCAGCGAUCAAUAAACUACCCUGCCUCCACUGGAUAGAGCAGGGAAAAAUUUCCAUGAUCAGCAAUAGGUAGGGAUUGCACCCCAAGUUAGCAUGAAGCAGCUACAGAAGAAAGACCAUCAAUCCCUCUGCUUCCCAUAAAGAUUUAUGGGAAUCACAUCUCUCAGGGGGAAUAUGAGGCAGGAAAAUAGGGUCUGGAAGCAGGGAACCUAAGGUUUAUUCAUGCUGACUGGAUAUCAGAGGCUACUCUCUUUACGACCUCUCCUUCUCUGUGGCAGUUGAAAAAUGAGACCAAUAUCCCUGAUGAACAUCAAUGCAAAAAUCCUCAAUAAAAUAUUGGCAAACAGAAUCCAGCAGCACAU
This 1726-nucleotide long non-coding RNA is filed under the name Homo sapiens (human). Its description in RNAcentral is "HSALNT0348045". The record is from RNAcentral. Lineage: Eukaryota; Metazoa; Chordata; Mammalia; Primates; Hominidae.